Molecule: long non-coding RNA, 630 nt
Filed under: Bemisia tabaci
Lineage: Eukaryota; Metazoa; Arthropoda; Insecta; Hemiptera; Aleyrodidae
Description: lncRNA ENSSSA2NGG006074
Source: RNAcentral
AAUCAAGUGAAGAAAAGAAAGUAAGCAGCUCUCGAGUUCCUAGUACGCCAGUAAGCUCAGAUACACCCAAAUCUGAACACUCCUUCGUUGAAGCAGUGCCAAGUUCUAACAAAAAGAUGAGGAAAAACAUAGUAGAUAUCUCCGACCCGCGCUACCUGAAACCGUUCGAAUUUGGAUGGAGGCGAGAGCUAGUCUAUCGCGCUACCAAUGAAGAUGGCAAGCGCCAAGGAGAUAUUUACUACUACACCCCUAGCGGCAAAAAAGUUCGCCUCGCAAAGAGAAGUCUCAGAACAUAUUACUGAUCCAGAACUUACGGCAGAUAACUUCACAUUCAGCAAAGAGCCCAUUGGCCUGAAUGAUAGUGAAAAGGAAAUAAUUCGAGAUGCUAAAAUGCGAAUGAGCAAGGACUGGGCAACUCCACCACCAAGAGCUGCAGUGAAAACGCCGAAAGCCAAAGCAACAGCAACUCCUCCCGCAACUCCAAAAUCGACGCCAAAAGUGGUCAUCAAGACGCCGACGCCCAGCUCAGGUGGAUUGAAAGUAAAGUUCACAGGAAUCAAAUCAGGUUCCACAGCAGCUAAGUCAAGUGUACCUAAUCAAGACCCGCUAAAGUUAAAAAGCGCAAGAGUU